This 253-nucleotide ribosomal RNA is filed under the name uncultured bacterium. Its description in RNAcentral is "partial 16S ribosomal RNA". It matches the Rfam family "Bacterial small subunit ribosomal RNA", at positions 524 to 776 of the family's 1533-position model. The record is from RNAcentral.
UACGUAGGGGGCUAGCGUUGUCCGGAAUCAUUGGGCGUAAAGCGCGUGUAGGCGGUCCGGUAAGUCCGCUGUGAAAGUCGGGGGCUCAACCCUCGAAUGCCGGUGGAUACUGUCGGACUAGAGUUCGGAAGAGGCGAGUGGAAUUCCUGGUGUAGCGGUGAAAUGCGCAGAUAUCAGGAGGAACACCCAUUGCGAAGGCAGCUCGCUGGGACGUUACUGACGCUGAGACGCGAAAGCGUGGGGAGCAAACAGG